RNAcentral lists this unclassified non-coding RNA (354 nucleotides) under soil metagenome. Its description in RNAcentral is "partial contains 5.8S ribosomal RNA, internal transcribed spacer 2, and large subunit ribosomal RNA". The stretch from base 1 to 120 matches the Rfam family "5.8S ribosomal RNA", at positions 35 to 154 of the family's 154-position model. The record is from RNAcentral.
GAUGAAGAACGUAGCGAAACGCGAUAGUUAAUGUGAAUUGCAGAAUUCAGUGAAUCAUCGAGUCUUUGAACGCACAUUGCGCCCCUCGGCAUUCCGGAGGGCAUGUCUGUUUGAGCGUCAUUUCAACACCCUCGCUUUAAGCGGUAUUGAGGCGUGGAAUCCAUAUCAAUGGAACCAAGCUUUUAAAGUUGAAGGCAAGCAGAACGAAUGUCUUGAACAAAACAUAGUAAAAUCUUCACGGUUUCUCCUGUUUGUCCUCGAUGUUACGUCUCGCCCAAACAAUUUUUUUUUUAGUUUUGACCUCAGAUCAGACAAGGAUACCCGCUGAACUUAAGCAUAUCAAUAAGCGGAGGA